AAUAGAUACCCAGGUAGUCCACGCCGUAAACGAUGAAUACCAGGUGUAGGAGGGUCCAACCUUCUGUGCCGCCGUUAACACAUUAAGUAUUCCGCCUGGGGAGUACGGUCGCAAGAUUAAAACUCAAAGGAAUUGACGGGGGCCCGCACAAGCAGCGGAGCAUGUGGUUUAAUUCGAAGCAACGCGAAGAACCUUACCUAGACUUGACAUCUCCUGAAUUACCGGUAAUGCGGGAAGCCCUUCGGGGCAGGAAGACAGGUGGUGCAUGGUUGUCGUCAGCUCGUGUCGUGAGAUGUUGGGUUAAGUCCCGCAACGAGCGCAACCCUUAUUGUUAGUUGCUACCAUUAAGUUGAGCACUCUAGCAAGACUGCCGGGGUUAACUCGGAGGAAGGUGGGGAUGACGUCAAAUCAUCAUGCCCCUUAUGUCUAGGGCUACACACGUGCUACAAUGGCGAGUACAACGAGAGGCAAAGCCGCGAGGCGGAGCAAAACUAUAAAACUCGUCCCAGUUCGGAUUGCAGGCUGAAACUCGCCUACAUGAAGCCGGU
RNAcentral lists this ribosomal RNA (548 nucleotides) under uncultured bacterium. RNAcentral describes it as "bacterial SSU rRNA". It matches the Rfam family "Bacterial small subunit ribosomal RNA", at positions 777 to 1330 of the family's 1533-position model. The record is from RNAcentral.